UAAGCGACUAAGCGUACACGGUGGAUGCCCUGGCAGUCAGAGGCGAUGAAGGACGUGCUAAUCUGCGAUAAGCGUCGGUAAGGUGAUAUGAACCGUUAUAACCGGCGAUUUCCGAAUGGGGAAACCCAGUGUGUUUCGACACACUAUCAUUAACUGAAUCCAUAGGUUAAUGAGGCGAACCGGGGGAACUGAAACAUCUAAGUACCCCGAGGAAAAGAAAUCAACCGAGAUUCCCCCAGUAGCGGCGAGCGAACGGGGAGCAGCCCAGAGCCUGAAUCAGUGUGUGUGUUAGUGGAAGCGUCUGGAAAGGCGCGCGAUACAGGGUGACAGCCCCGUACACAAAAAUGCACAUGCUGUGAGCUCGAUGAGUAGGGCGGGACACGUGGUAUCCUGUCUGAAUAUGGGGGGACCAUCCUCCAAGGCUAAAUACUCCUGACUGACCGAUAGUGAACCAGUACCGUGAGGGAAAGGCGAAAAGAACCCCGGCGAGGGGAGUGAAAAAGAACCUGAAACCGUGUACGUACAAGCAGUGGGAGCACGCUUAGGCGUGUGACUGCGUACCUUUUGUAUAAUGGGUCAGCGACUUAUAUUCUGUAGCAAGGUUAACCGAAUAGGGGAGCCGAAGGGAAACCGAGUCUUAACUGGGCGUUAAGUUGCAGGGUAUAGACCCGAAACCCGGUGAUCUAGCCAUGGGCAGGUUGAAGGUUGGGUAACACUAACUGGAGGACCGAACCGACUAAUGUUGAAAAAUUAGCGGAUGACUUGUGGCUGGGGGUGAAAGGCCAAUCAAACCGGGAGAUAGCUGGUUCUCCCCGAAAGCUAUUUAGGUAGCGCCUCGUGAAUUCAUCUCCGGGGGUAGAGCACUGUUUCGGCAAGGGGGUCAUCCCGACUUACCAACCCGAUGCAAACUGCGAAUACCGGAGAAUGUUAUCACGGGAGACACACGGCGGGUGCUAACGUCCGUCGUGAAGAGGGAAACAACCCAGACCGCCAGCUAAGGUCCCAAAGUCAUGGUUAAGUGGGAAACGAUGUGGGAAGGCCCAGACAGCCAGGAUGUUGGCUUAGAAGCAGCCAUCAUUUAAAGAAAGCGUAAUAGCUCACUGGUCGAGUCGGCCUGCGCGGAAGAUGUAACGGGGCUAAACCAUGCACCGAAGCUGCGGCAGCGACGCUUAUGCGUUGUUGGGUAGGGGAGCGUUCUGUAAGCCUGCGAAGGUGUGCUGUGAGGCAUGCUGGAGGUAUCAGAAGUGCGAAUGCUGACAUAAGUAACGAUAAAGCGGGUGAAAAGCCCGCUCGCCGGAAGACCAAGGGUUCCUGUCCAACGUUAAUCGGGGCAGGGUGAGUCGACCCCUAAGGCGAGGCCGAAAGGCGUAGUCGAUGGGAAACAGGUUAAUAUUCCUGUACUUGGUGUUACUGCGAAGGGGGGACGGAGAAGGCUAUGUUGGCCGGGCGACGGUUGUCCCGGUUUAAGCGUGUAGGCUGGUUUUCCAGGCAAAUCCGGAAAAUCAAGGCUGAGGCGUGAUGACGAGGCACUACGGUGCUGAAGCAACAAAUGCCCUGCUUCCAGGAAAAGCCUCUAAGCAUCAGGUAACAUCAAAUCGUACCCCAAACCGACACAGGUGGUCAGGUAGAGAAUACCAAGGCGCUUGAGAGAACUCGGGUGAAGGAACUAGGCAAAAUGGUGCCGUAACUUCGGGAGAAGGCACGCUGAUAUGUAGGUGAGGUCCCUCGCGGAUGGAGCUGAAAUCAGUCGAAGAUACCAGCUGGCUGCAACUGUUUAUUAAAAACACAGCACUGUGCAAACACGAAAGUGGACGUAUACGGUGUGACGCCUGCCCGGUGCCGGAAGGUUAAUUGAUGGGGUUAGCGCAAGCGAAGCUCUUGAUCGAAGCCCCGGUAAACGGCGGCCGUAACUAUAACGGUCCUAAGGUAGCGAAAUUCCUUGUCGGGUAAGUUCCGACCUGCACGAAUGGCGUAAUGAUGGCCAGGCUGUCUCCACCCGAGACUCAGUGAAAUUGAACUCGCUGUGAAGAUGCAGUGUACCCGCGGCAAGACGGAAAGACCCCGUGAACCUUUACUAUAGCUUGACACUGAACAUUGAGCCUUGAUGUGUAGGAUAGGUGGGAGGCUUAGAAGUGUGGACGCCAGUCUGCAUGGAGCCGACCUUGAAAUACCACCCUUUAAUGUUUGAUGUUCUAACGUUGACCCGUAAUCCGGGUUGCGGACAGUGUCUGGUGGGUAGUUUGACUGGGGCGGUCUCCUCCUAAAGAGUAACGGAGGAGCACGAAGGUUGGCUAAUCCUGGUCGGACAUCAGGAGGUUAGUGCAAUGGCAUAAGCCAGCUUGACUGCGAGCGUGACGGCGCGAGCAGGUGCGAAAGCAGGUCAUAGUGAUCCGGUGGUUCUGAAUGGAAGGGCCAUCGCUCAACGGAUAAAAGGUACUCCGGGGAUAACAGGCUGAUACCGCCCAAGAGUUCAUAUCGACGGCGGUGUUUGGCACCUCGAUGUCGGCUCAUCACAUCCUGGGGCUGAAGUAGGUCCCAAGGGUAUGGCUGUUCGCCAUUUAAAGUGGUACGCGAGCUGGGUUUAGAACGUCGUGAGACAGUUCGGUCCCUAUCUGCCGUGGGCGCUGGAGAACUGAGGGGGGCUGCUCCUAGUACGAGAGGACCGGAGUGGACGCAUCACUGGUGUUCGGGUUGUCAUGCCAAUGGCACUGCCCGGUAGCUAAAUGCGGAAGAGAUAAGUGCUGAAAGCAUCUAAGCACGAAACUUGCCCCGAGAUGAGUUCUCCCUGACUCCUUGAGAGUCCUGAAGGAACGUUGAAGACGACGACGUUGAUAGGCCGGGUGUGUAAGCGCAGCGAUGCGUUGAGCUAACCGGUACUAAUGAACCGUGAGGCUUAACCU
This 2900-nucleotide ribosomal RNA is filed under the name Escherichia coli. RNAcentral's name for it is "bacterial LSU rRNA". It matches the Rfam family "Bacterial large subunit ribosomal RNA". The record is from RNAcentral. Lineage: Bacteria; Pseudomonadati; Pseudomonadota; Gammaproteobacteria; Enterobacterales; Enterobacteriaceae.